This 253-nucleotide ribosomal RNA is filed under the name uncultured bacterium. RNAcentral's name for it is "partial 16S ribosomal RNA". It matches the Rfam family "Bacterial small subunit ribosomal RNA", at positions 524 to 776 of the family's 1533-position model. The record is from RNAcentral.
UACGAAGGGUGCAAGCGUUACUCGGAAUUACUGGGCGUAAAGCGCGUGUAGGCGGUCCGGUAAGUCCGCUGUGAAAGUCGGGGGCUCAACCCUCGAAUGCCGGUGGAUACUGUCGGGCUAGAGUGCGGAAGAGGCGAGUGGAAUUCCUGGUGUAGCGGUGAAAUGCGCAGAUAUCAGGAGGAACACCAAUUGCGAAGGCAGCUCGCUGGGACGUAACUGACGCUGAGACGCGAAAGCGUGGGGAGCAAACAGG